Molecule: ribosomal RNA, 491 nt
Filed under: uncultured bacterium
Lineage: Bacteria
Description: partial 16S ribosomal RNA
Rfam family: Bacterial small subunit ribosomal RNA
Source: RNAcentral
AGUGAACGCUGGCGGUAGGCCUAACACAUGCAAGUCGAACGGCAGCACAGUAAGAGCUUGCUCUUACGGGUGGCGAGUGGCGGACGGGUGAGGAAUACAUCGGAAUCUACUUUUUCGUGGGGGAUAACGUAGGGAAACUUACGCUAAUACCGCAUACGACCUACGGGUGAAAGCAGGGGAUCUUCGGACCUUGCGCGAUUGAAUGAGCCGAUGUCGGAUUAGCUAGUUGGCGGGGUAAAGGCCCACCAAGGCGACGAUCCGUAGCUGGUCUGAGAGGAUGACCGCCAAAACUGGAACUGAGACAGGGCCAAGACCCCUACGGAGGGAGGAGGUGGGAAAUAUUGACAAAGGGCGGCAAGCCGAACCAGGCAUACCGCGUGGGUGAAGAAGGCCUUCGGGUUGUAAAGCCCUUUUGUUGGGAAAGAAAAGCAGCAGGUUAAUACCCCGCUGUUCUGACGGUACCCAAAGAAUAAGCACCGGCUAACUUCGUG